UUAUUUCUUUGUAAAAAAAAAACUAAAAGUUAAAAUUUCCUACUGCUGUGAUGAUCUAUGCCUAUCCUGAGAUAAUGUUUGAGGAAAAUUGCUCUCUUGUAAGAAACACAAAUGGACUUUAUCACUGCAAUCUCAGGUUAAUGUCAAUUUGGAAGUAAUUGUAUUGCAGUUCCUGCAUUGAAGUAGAGAACGGAGAGCUGUAGCAACUAGAAUAGAACCUUGCAGAUUUCAUUUUGGGUGUCGUCAUCAAAAUGAGCUAAAAUUCCACAAAGGUGAUUUUGUCCAUCAUGCAACCAAGUCUGCGACAAAUUGCCAAAAUUUUAUAUUCAGCUUGUUGUCAUUCUGCUCUUUUCCUUUCAAAAAUAACUCUAGUAAUAUUUUUGAAUACAAGUUUGAUAAUUAUAAGAUCAAACAAUUACCACGUCCAAAAUGUGAAAAGAAAGUACCUAAUGGCUGCCUGUAUUGCCGAAUGGCCAUGUUGGAAUUCCAAACCAACUUCAUGCAAUCAUAAUUCUAUCAUUUGUCACAAGGUACAUAUACCUAAUUUAGAUGAUCAAAAAAAUGAACAAAGAAAACUGCAAACCAUGCAAUGAAGGAUACGAGCAAUUUUAGAAGAGAAAACGAAAACCAAGAGAACGCAAAGUAAUCC
Long non-coding RNA from Episyrphus balteatus (marmalade hoverfly), 649 nucleotides. RefSeq lists it as uncharacterized. The transcript is spliced from 4 exons. The record is from RefSeq and is a predicted model, not a curated record. NCBI's taxonomy places the organism in Eukaryota, Metazoa, Arthropoda, Insecta, Diptera, Syrphidae.